CCCUACGGGGUGCACCAUUCUAUUUCACCGACAUUCUGUCUGUUAAACAAUUCCAACGAAAAGACCUGGAUUAUAUUUUUGGCGUUGCGCAUGAGAUGUCCGAGAUGGUACGCCGGAUAGGGACCUUUGACUUGCUCAAAGGAAAGAUCCUGGCCAACCUGUUUUACGAACCCUCGACUCGUACCAUGUCCUCUUUUACCGCCGCCAUGGAACGUUUGGGCGGCAGCGUAAUUCCGAUCAAUGAGGUGCGCUAUUCGUCGGUCUCCAAAGGCGAAUCACUGCCGGAUACCGUUCGCACGCUGGAAUGCUAUGCGGAUGUCAUCGUUCUGCGGCAUCCCGAGGUGGGUUCUGUAGCCACCGCCGCAAAAUUUACCAGGAAGCCCAUCAUCAAUGCCGGUGAUGGAAUUGGCGGGAGAGC
RNAcentral lists this ribosomal RNA (418 nucleotides) under uncultured prokaryote. RNAcentral's name for it is "partial 16S ribosomal RNA". The record is from RNAcentral.